CCUACGGGUGGCAGCAGUGAGGAAUAUUGGUCAAUGGGCGCGAGCCUGAACCAGCCAAGUAGCGUGAAGGAUGACUGUCCUACGGGUUGUAAACCUCUUUUAUAAAGGAAUAAAGUGAGGCACGCGUGCCUUUCCGUAAGUACUCUAUGAAUAAGGAUCGGCUAACUCCGUGCCAGCAGCCGCGGUAAUACGGAGGAUCCGAGCGUUAUCCGGAUUUAUUGGGUUUAAAGGGGGCGUAGAUGGGUUGUUAAGUCAGUUGUGAAAGUUUGCGGCUCAACCGUAAAAUUGCAAUUGAUACUGGCAGCCUUGAGUGCAGUUGAGGUAGGCGGAAUUCGUGGUGUAGCGGUGAAAUGCUUAGAUAUCACGAAGAACUCCGAUUGCGAAGGCAGCAUAC
This 394-nucleotide ribosomal RNA is filed under the name uncultured bacterium. RNAcentral describes it as "partial 16S ribosomal RNA". It matches the Rfam family "Bacterial small subunit ribosomal RNA", at positions 338 to 729 of the family's 1533-position model. The record is from RNAcentral.